GACGAACGCUGGCGGCGUGCUUAACACAUGCAAGUCGAACGGAAAGGCCCCUUUGGUGGUACUCGAGUGGCGAACGGGUGAGUAACACGUGAGUAACCUGCCCUUGACUUCGGGAUAACUUCAGGAAACUGGGGCUAAUACCGGAUAGGAAUCCUUGCUUCAUGGUGGGGGUUGGAAAGCUUCGGCGGUUUUGGAUGGACUCGCGGCUUAUCAGCUUGUUGGUGGGGUAGUGGCUUACCAAGGCUUUGACGGGUAGCCGGCCUGAGAGGGCGACCGGCCACAUUGGGACUGAGAGACGGCCCAGACUCCUACGGGAGGCAGAAGGGGGGAAUAUUGAACAAUGGGCGGAAGCCUGAUGCAGCAACGCCGCGUGCGGGAUGACGGCCUUAGGGUUGUAAACCGCUUUCAGCAGGGGCGAAGCUUGUGGUGACGGUACCUGCAGAAGAAGCACCGGCUAACUACGUG
This 465-nucleotide ribosomal RNA is filed under the name uncultured bacterium. RNAcentral's name for it is "partial 16S ribosomal RNA". It matches the Rfam family "Bacterial small subunit ribosomal RNA", at positions 28 to 507 of the family's 1533-position model. The record is from RNAcentral.